GAUACCCCACUAUGCUUAGCCAUAAACAAUGACAUUAAAACACAACAAUGUUCGCCAGGAUACUACAAGCACUAGCUUAAAACCCAAAGGACCUGACGGUGCCUUAGAUCCCCCUAGAGGAGCCUGUUCUAGAACCGAUUAUCCUCGUUAAACCUCACCACUCCUAGUAAUAUCAGCCUAUAUACCACCGUCGCCAGCUUACCCUCUGAGGGUAUAAAAGUAAGCAAGAUGGGUACAACCCAGAAAGUCAGGUCGAGGUGUAGCAUAUGGGGUGGGAAGAAAUGGGCUACAUUUUCUAUCACAGAAUAUACGAAUCUGUAUUAUAUGAAAUAAUUCUUUGAAGGAGGAUUUAGUAGUAAAAGAGAAGCAGAGUGUCUCUUUGAACC
Molecule: ribosomal RNA, 386 nt
Filed under: Danio aff. dangila DP-2005
Lineage: Eukaryota; Metazoa; Chordata; Actinopteri; Cypriniformes; Danionidae
Description: partial 12S ribosomal RNA
Rfam family: Bacterial small subunit ribosomal RNA
Source: RNAcentral